This 467-nucleotide long non-coding RNA is filed under the name Pan troglodytes (chimpanzee). Its description in RNAcentral is "long non-coding RNA NONPTRT011746". The record is from RNAcentral. Lineage: Eukaryota; Metazoa; Chordata; Mammalia; Primates; Hominidae.
GAAAUGUCAGUUCUUUGUUACUAAAGAAUUUGAGGCAACUUCAUCAGAAGUGAAAGUUUUAAUUUUGGGUUCCAAAGAAAACAUUUCAGAAUGUGUUGCCAAAUCUUCGCUCAUCAUAAUUUGGAAUUGGACAACAUUCCUGAGCACGUGUCCCAGGCAAGGUGGGCCAUGGAGGGACCAUAACGCAUGACCAUGCCCUUCAGCUGCUUUGAGUGUAGCGGAGGAAAAGCCAUAUACCCGGGGGGACAGCAGUUCAUGGGGAAUGAAGAGAUUCAGCCAAGAAACACCUAUUGCAGUAAAAGCAAAGAGGAAGAACGAACAUUUCAUCUGACCAUGUCUUAUUUUUUGCUUGUCCCCAUUGUGCUGGUCAUUCAGCAAGCACUUGAUAUUUUUCCAUGAGAUUUUAUUGACACGGGAAAUUAGGUGCCACUAAGACAAAGAUUUAUUUUCUUGGUGUCUAUGCAAAC